AGAGUUUGAUCCUGGCUCAGAUUGAACGCUGGCGGCAUGCCUUACACAUGCAAGUCGAACGGCAGCACGGGAGCAAUCCUGGUGGCGAGUGGCGAACGGGUGAGUAAUAUAUCGGAACGUGCCCAGUAGUGGGGGAUAGCCCGGCGAAAGCCGGAUUAAUACCGCAUGAGACCUGAGGGUGAAAGCGGGGGAUCGCAAGACCUCGCGCUAUUGGAGCGGCCGAUAUCAGAUUAGCUAGUUGGUGGGGUAAAGGCCUACCAAGGCAACGAUCUGUAGUUGGUCUGAGAGGACGACCAGCCACACUGGGACUGAGACACGGCCCAGACUCCUACGGGAGGCAGCAGUGGGGAAUUUUGGACAAUGGGCGCAAGCCUGAUCCAGCAAUGCCGCGUGCAGGAAGAAGGCCUU
RNAcentral lists this ribosomal RNA (408 nucleotides) under uncultured bacterium. Its description in RNAcentral is "bacterial SSU rRNA". It matches the Rfam family "Bacterial small subunit ribosomal RNA", at positions 8 to 418 of the family's 1533-position model. The record is from RNAcentral.